RNAcentral lists this transfer RNA (85 nucleotides) under Bdellovibrio sp. 28-41-41. Its description in RNAcentral is "tRNA-Leu". It matches the Rfam family "tRNA". Rfam says of the family: Transfer RNA (tRNA) molecules are approximately 80 nucleotides in length. Their secondary structure includes four short double-helical elements and three loops (D, anti-codon, and T loops). Further hydrogen bonds mediate the characteristic L-shaped molecular structure. tRNAs have two regions of fundamental functional importance: the anti-codon, which is responsible for specific mRNA codon recognition, and the 3' end, to which the tRNAs corresponding amino acid is attached (by aminoacyl-tRNA synthetases). tRNAs cope with the degeneracy of the genetic code in two manners: having more than one tRNA (with a specific anti-codon) for a particular amino acid; and 'wobble' base-pairing, i.e. permitting non-standard base-pairing at the 3rd anti-codon position. Lineage: Bacteria; Pseudomonadati; Bdellovibrionota; Bdellovibrionia; Bdellovibrionales; Pseudobdellovibrionaceae. The record is from RNAcentral. RNAcentral also lists the same sequence under 1 other name.
GCCCCGCUGGUGAAAUUGGCAGACACACUAGACUUAGGAUCUAGCGCCGAGAGGCAUGGGGGUUCAAGUCCCUCGCGGGGCACCA